UACUAUACUAAAUGUAAAAAAAAUUACUAGAAUAUUAAUAGCUAUGAUCUUUAAGCUUAAAGAAUUUGGCGGUAGCUCAGUCUGGUUAGAGGAACCUGUUUUUGAAUUGAUACACCACAAAAUAUCUUACUUAUUUUUAUAAAAUUGAUUUGUAUACCGUCAUUAUUAGAUAAUUUAUUUAAAAAUCAUUAUUACUUUUUAUAAAAUUACAAAAAUUAGAUCAAGGUGCAGUUGAUAAAUAAGUUAAAAUGGGUUACAAUAAUAUAAAAUUAAAUGGAAAUAUUCAUGAAAUAGAACUAUUGAAGGAGGAUUUAAUUGUAAUAAAAUUUUAAUAAGGUUAAAAGAUAUAAGCUCUGAGAUAU
Molecule: ribosomal RNA, 362 nt
Filed under: Maja crispata
Lineage: Eukaryota; Metazoa; Arthropoda; Malacostraca; Decapoda; Majidae
Description: partial 12S ribosomal RNA
Source: RNAcentral